UGGGGAAUAUUGCGCAAUGGGGGAAACCCUGACGCAGCGACGCCGCGUGAGCGAAGAAGGCCUUAGGGUUGUAAAGCUCUGUUUUAGGGGACGAAAGACUAGAGGAGUAACUGCCUUUAGAGUGACGGUACCCUAAGAGGAAGCCCCGGCUAACUACGUGCCAGCAGCCGCGGUAAGACGUAGGGGGCGAGCGUUGUCCGGAAUUACUGGGCGUAAAGAGCACGUAGGCGGGAACUUAAGUCAGGUGUGAAAGACCGGGGCUCAACUCCGGGGUUGCACAUGAAACUGGGUUUCUUGAGGGCAGGAGAGGGAAGCAGAAUUCCUGGUGUAGCGGUGAAAUGCGUAGAAAUCAGGAGGAAUACCAGUGGCGAAGGCGGCUUUCUGGACUGACCCUGACGCUGAGGUGCGAAAGCGUGGGUAGCAAACAGG
This 429-nucleotide ribosomal RNA is filed under the name uncultured bacterium. RNAcentral describes it as "bacterial SSU rRNA". It matches the Rfam family "Bacterial small subunit ribosomal RNA", at positions 355 to 776 of the family's 1533-position model. The record is from RNAcentral.